GAUGAACGCUGGCGGCGUGCCUAAUACAUGCAAGUCGAGCGAAAAGACGAGGAGCUUGCUCCUCUGACGUUAGCGGCGGACGGGUGAGUAACACGUGGAUAACCUACCUAUAAGACUGGGAUAACUUCGGGAAACCGGUGCUAAUACCGGAUAAUAUAUUGAACCGCAUGGUUCAAUAGUGAAAGACGGUUUUGCUGUCACUUAUAGAUGGAUCCGCGCCGCAUUAGCUAGUUGGUAAGGUAACGGCUUACCAAGGCGACGAUGCGUAGCCGACCUGAGAGGGUGAUCAGCCACACUGGAACUGAGACGCGGUCCAGACUCCGACGGGAGGCAGCAGUAGGGAAUCUUCCGCAAUGGGCGGAAGCCUGACGGAGCAACGCCGCGUGAGUGAUGAAGGUCUUCGGAGCGUAAAACUCUGUGAUUAGGGAAGAACAAAUGUGUAAGUAACUAUGCGCGUCUUGACGGUACCUAAUCAGAAAGCCACGGCUAACUACGUG
Molecule: ribosomal RNA, 497 nt
Filed under: uncultured bacterium
Lineage: Bacteria
Description: partial 16S ribosomal RNA
Rfam family: Bacterial small subunit ribosomal RNA
Source: RNAcentral